GGAGAUUUAGUUGAAAAACAACAUUAAAUUGCAGAUUUAAAAGUAUAAUAUCUAUAAUCUCCU
RNAcentral lists this transfer RNA (63 nucleotides) under Ozobranchus jantseanus. RNAcentral's name for it is "tRNA-Cys". The record is from RNAcentral. Lineage: Eukaryota; Metazoa; Annelida; Clitellata; Hirudinida; Ozobranchidae.